Molecule: ribosomal RNA, 1387 nt
Filed under: Staphylococcus saprophyticus
Lineage: Bacteria; Bacillati; Bacillota; Bacilli; Caryophanales; Staphylococcaceae
Description: bacterial SSU rRNA
Rfam family: Bacterial small subunit ribosomal RNA
Source: RNAcentral
AAGGAGCUUGCUCCUUUGACGUUAGCGGCGGACGGGUGAGUAACACGUGGGUAACCUACCUAUAAGACUGGGAUAACUUCGGGAAACCGGAGCUAAUACCGGAUAACAUUUGGAACCGCAUGGUUCUAAAGUGAAAGAUGGUUUUGCUAUCACUUAUAGAUGGACCCGCGCCGUAUUAGCUAGUUGGUAAGGUAACGGCUUACCAAGGCGACGAUACGUAGCCGACCUGAGAGGGUGAUCGGCCACACUGGAACUGAGACACGGUCCAGACUCCUACGGGAGGCAGCAGUAGGGAAUCUUCCGCAAUGGGCGAAAGCCUGACGGAGCAACGCCGCGUGAGUGAUGAAGGGUUUCGGCUCGUAAAACUCUGUUAUUAGGGAAGAACAAAUGUGUAAGUAACUGUGCACGUCUUGACGGUACCUAAUCAGAAAGCCACGGCUAACUACGUGCCAGCAGCCGCGGUAAUACGUAGGUGGCAAGCGUUAUCCGGAAUUAUUGGGCGUAAAGCGCGCGUAGGCGGUUUCUUAAGUCUGAUGUGAAAGCCCACGGCUCAACCGUGGAGGGUCAUUGGAAACUGGGAAACUUGAGUGCAGAAGAGGAAAGUGGAAUUCCAUGUGUAGCGGUGAAAUGCGCAGAGAUAUGGAGGAACACCAGUGGCGAAGGCGACUUUCUGGUCUGUAACUGACGCUGAUGUGCGAAAGCGUGGGGAUCAAACAGGAUUAGAUACCCUGGUAGUCCACGCCGUAAACGAUGAGUGCUAAGUGUUAGGGGGUUUCCGCCCCUUAGUGCUGCAGCUAACGCAUUAAGCACUCCGCCUGGGGAGUACGACCGCAAGGUUGAAACUCAAAGGAAUUGACGGGGACCCGCACAAGCGGUGGAGCAUGUGGUUUAAUUCGAAGCAACGCGAAGAACCUUACCAAAUCUUGACAUCCUUUGAAAACUCUAGAGAUAGAGCCUUCCCCUUCGGGGGACAAAGUGACAGGUGGUGCAUGGUUGUCGUCAGCUCGUGUCGUGAGAUGUUGGGUUAAGUCCCGCAACGAGCGCAACCCUUAAGCUUAGUUGCCAUCAUUAAGUUGGGCACUCUAGGUUGACUGCCGGUGACAAACCGGAGGAAGGUGGGGAUGACGUCAAAUCAUCAUGCCCCUUAUGAUUUGGGCUACACACGUGCUACAAUGGACAAUACAAAGGGCAGCUAAACCGCGAGGUCAUGCAAAUCCCAUAAAGUUGUUCUCAGUUCGGAUUGUAGUCUGCAACUCGACUACAUGAAGCUGGAAUCGCUAGUAAUCGUAGAUCAGCAUGCUACGGUGAAUACGUUCCCGGGUCUUGUACACACCGCCCGUCACACCACGAGAGUUUGUAACACCCGAAGCCGGUGGAGUAACCAUUU